RNAcentral lists this ribosomal RNA (611 nucleotides) under Helix pomatia (Roman snail). Its description in RNAcentral is "partial 16S ribosomal RNA". It matches the Rfam family "Archaeal large subunit ribosomal RNA", at positions 1520 to 2690 of the family's 2987-position model. The record is from RNAcentral. Lineage: Eukaryota; Metazoa; Mollusca; Gastropoda; Stylommatophora; Helicidae.
GAUAUUAUCCCCUUGUAGUGUAGUUUAAUAGCUAUCUACAUAAUAACUUAAUAUAAAGUAUAAUAGUUUAUAUUUUAUAAUAUGACGUUAACAAUUUUGUUUAAUAUUUGAAAAUGUUAGUAUUAGUAAUAUUAGUAUAUGUGCUAAAGGAACUCGGCAAAAAACCACUCAACUGUUUAUCAAAAACAUAGCUAUAUGCAUUAAUAUAUAGUUAUUUCUGCUCAAUGACUUAAAUAGCCGCAGUACUCUGACUGUGCAAAGGUAGCAUAAUCAGUUGGCUUUUAAUUAGAGUCUGGUAUGAACGAAAAUAUGGGUAGUAACUGUCUUAGCACAUUUUUUCGAACUUAUUAAACAAGUGCAAAUGCUUGUAAUUUAACAAUAGACGAGAAGACCCUAGAAACUUGGACAAGUUUUUGUUGGGGCGACAGAAUUACACUUAACUAAUCUUAUAAUACACGACGCGAUGUUGAAAGAAUAAGUUACUCUAGGGAUAACAGCAUAAUUUCAUUAGUUUGUGACCUCGAUGUUGGACUAGGUACUAUACCCUUAAGGCAAGGAUAUAUUAUGCUCUGUUCGAGCAAAAUUACCUACAUGAUCUGAGUUCAGACCGG